CAGACGGCGGUGGUGUGUAGUGUAGAGGACAGGGGCAGGAAGCGGUGGUGUGUAGAAGAGGAGGGGUAGGAGGCGGAGGUACGGAGGGUAGAAGAGGAGGGUCAGGAGGCGGAGGUGCGGAGGGUAGAAGAGGAGGGUCAAGAAGUGGAGGUGCGGAGGGUAGAAGAGGAGGGGCAGGAAGCGGAGGUGGCGGGGCGGAGGUUGACUACUACCUUCGGUUCUAGGUACCGCUGCCACGGACUUCGCCGGGCUACCUUCGCCUUCGGUUGUUAACGGCUACGUCGCUCGUCGACGAUGAGCGUUCGUUGCUGGUUCCGGUACCUAGAUGACGUCCCCGGAAGAUGAGGCAGAGGGUCCUGCGCGUCGACGGAGCGGUAGGCCUCCAAGCCAAGUCGGUCGUGCCCUGCUCCUCUCCUGCUGAUGGCACUGGACAUCCUCCGUGUUCGAGCUGGAACGACCCCUGUUGCUGCGAGGCGUGUUCCUCGAAAGGCGGAGAGGUCAAGGAACCUGCCACUGCUGACCGUGGGUGCGAGCUCGAGCUGUUACUCUAGCAGGCGGGGCUGGUGGUACUAAGGGGUGUCUUGCUCCAGCUGGGAGAGCGAGACAAAAAGAAAGGAAAGGUUCACUAAUGACGAGACGAGAUCGUAUCAAGAGGUUCCCGAGAGUGUAAAAGAACAUGACUUGGUACUACGUGUUUUGCACCGGUGAAAAAAAAAGACUGUACGUUCAAUGUCGGUUGCUAUCUGAUCGUAACGCUCGUCGUCGUUACAUCUUAAAUACUCUAGACGAUCAAUCAAAUUCUACGAUCACAUUAUUCAUUUGCCGGUACUCUACGAGGACAACAAAGGAACGAUGAGAAACGUUCGUCGUUCCUACAAUUAACGGUCACCCCGUCGACUGAUACGAUAGACGGAAAAACGGUUCCUCUUCUCAUGGUACUAUAGAAUAGGAAGGUGAUUUGUUAGUUUAAGACCGUUGAGAAUUAAAUAGAGGUACCCUAGAUGAAUCGACUGGUGAAACAGGUUCAUUAUAAACACCUUCUAUCACCCCACACUACAAGCUUGUAACAAACAUUUGUGUUUACGUGAAAACCGAUAAAACUGCUUAGACGUAUGACAAGAACUUGUACUAUAAAAUGAUAUAUCCUUGCUAUUACUUUCUAACUACCGUAACUCUAGGUAUCGUUAAGUAAAUGUUGGUAUAUGAAAAUGAUAUUAGAAACUGAAAAAAUAAGGAGUAGUAAAGAGGGAUAGAACCGUUGAUAUUAAAAAACUCCUUAAAAGGAACAUUAAGUUAGAAUUAUAACUAAACUAUAUGGAACAGAAAAGAACAAGAUAUCAGUAGGGUAACGAAUUUUUAAACUUCCUUUACGAUUUAAAUAAUGAACUACCGAAUAUGGACGUGAAGCACAAUAUAAAGAUGUACGUACAAUGAAGAUCUACGGACCUCCGUACUUCAGUACGAGCUUUAAGGUAUCACGGAAUUGGUGGUUACCGUUGUAUUAAUAGUUUAUUUCAAGUGUCUGUUUGAACGUUUUGUGUAGUUCAGAAAGUACAAAAACUCGAUCAGGGUAGCGGUCAAAGAAGUGUGUUUUAUACCCCGUGCAUGUGUUGAACAAAGCUCAUCAUCAUAAGAAGAAAAAAGGAAAAGUACAGAAUCGAAUCUUUCUUGUGAGAUUAUCUUCCAGUUGUUUUUCAGAUCGUAUUUUAGAUAUAACCGGUAUUACUAAUCAUAAAAAGGAGUUUUAGACGGAACGUAUGUCAUAUGACUGCGCGUUAUCGGUGAAGGGUGAAGGCCGUUCCACGACCUAGAUCGGACCGGCUACACGGUGUAUCAAGUAGUUAAUGGUCGAGACGCGCCGGCACGCCUACACAAUCCCGACUUCAAAAGGAAGUGUUAAACACAAGUACAACGAGCUUUAGGGGUAGUCCACGUGCCGUUGUUUUUUUUUAGAGUUUUUUAUUGUCUUAAAAGAAAUCCUUCGCCCGACGUUUAGACCAGUUCACAACACAAACCAAAGGUACCUAUAAGAGUUUUACACCCUUUCACAGGUCAAGUUUCGUAGCUACGUACGUAGAUCACAGGCAAUAGAUAUAAAAGAAUAAACUAAUUGUUAAGGUAUAGGAAGAGGAUUUGCAUGUCCAGAGAUAAAAUGUUUUGUUUUGUUAACUUCAAACACAUAGAGAGAGCAUUUGUAUGUCCAUGUACGGAAGAAAACGACUUCAUGUCCAUGUACGGAAGAAAACGACUUCAAUGAUGUAACAGUGCAUAAUAACGUGUAUACAAUUAACUUACUUAGAACACGUAACAUAAUACAUAACAGGGGGUAACAGUCUGUUCACAAAAAGACAAAGAACAAACGUACUAUACGUUUCAUGAAUUGUAACAUACAAAAUGUGUAUUGAACCAACAGGAUUAAGUAUGUCUAGAUGUACUUUGAAUAUACAUCGUCUAUAAUACGAUAAGAGCAAACAUCGUCACAUUCUAAAUUCUUAAAACCUAUUGUGUACUAAGUCAAAAAUGUAAACAAUGUUAAGAGAAGAUAGAUAAAUAUAGAUUGUAUAGACUACCAGAACAUUUAUACGAUCCAUACUAACGUAUCACCCGAUGAACCACGACGGUUAUUGUUAGUCGUACUGUACUAUGUAUCAAAGGUCCUCCUCCCGGCUACUGUUGUACUUAUUAUUGAAGUUAUCAAAUUUGCAAUAGAAACACACUCGAUCUAACAUGACAAAGGAUUGAAACAACUCACUAUAAAACAGUUGGAUAUAACAUUUUAAUGGUAAAGGACUUCCUAAAACAUUUGAAGAUAUAACAUUUAUGGACGCCUACUAACGUAUAACUAAGUAUAUACAUGAAUACUUUGUAACCUUUAUGAAACAGAACCCG
RNAcentral lists this ribosomal RNA (2889 nucleotides) under Triticum aestivum (bread wheat). RNAcentral's name for it is "partial small subunit ribosomal RNA". The record is from RNAcentral. Lineage: Eukaryota; Viridiplantae; Streptophyta; Magnoliopsida; Poales; Poaceae.